CCGACUCCUACGGGAGGCAGCAGUGGGGAAUAUUGCACAAUGGGCGGAAGCCUGAUGCAGCAACGCCGCGUGCGGGAUGACGGCCUUCGGGUUGUAAACCGCUUUCGCCUGUGACGAAGCGUGAGUGACGGUAAUGGGUAAAGAAGCACCGGCUAACUACGUGCCAGCAGCCGCGGUGAUACGUAGGGUGCGAGCGUUGUCCGGAUUUAUUGGGCGUAAAGGGCUCGUAGGUGGUUGAUCGCGUCGGAAGUGUAAUCUUGGGGCUUAACCCUGAGCGUGCUUUCGAUACGGGUUGACUUGAGGAAGGUAGGGGAGAAUGGAAUUCCUGGUGGAGCGGUGGAAUGCGCAGAUAUCAGGAGGAACACCAGUGGCGAAGGCGGUUCUCUGGGCCUUUCCUGACGCUGAGGAGCGAAAGCGUGGGGAGCGAACAGGCUUAGAUACCCUGGUAGUCCACGCUGUAAACGGUGGGUACUAGGUGUGGGGUCCAUUCCACGGGUUCCGUGCCGUAGCUAACGCUUUAAGUACCCCGCCUGGGGAGUACGGCCGCAAGGCUAAAACUCAAAGGAAUUGACGGGGGCCCGCACAAG
RNAcentral lists this ribosomal RNA (587 nucleotides) under uncultured bacterium. RNAcentral's name for it is "bacterial SSU rRNA". It matches the Rfam family "Bacterial small subunit ribosomal RNA", at positions 332 to 929 of the family's 1533-position model. The record is from RNAcentral.